Molecule: microRNA, 20 nt
Filed under: Hevea brasiliensis (rubber tree)
Lineage: Eukaryota; Viridiplantae; Streptophyta; Magnoliopsida; Malpighiales; Euphorbiaceae
Description: ptc-miRf12236-akr
Source: RNAcentral
CAUUCCUCUUCCUAAAAUGG